GACGAACGCUGGCGGCGUGCCUAAUACAUGCAAGUUGAGCGCUGAAGGUUGGUACCUGUACCAACUGGAUGAGCAGCGAACGGGUGAGUAACGCGUGGGGAAUCUGCCUUUGAGCGGGGGACAACAUUUGGAAACGAAUGCUAAUACCGCAUAAAAACUUUAAACACAAGUUUUAAGUUUGAAAGAUGCAAUUGCAUCACUCAAAGAUGAUCCCGCGUUGUAUUAGCUAGUUGGUGAGGUAAAGGCUCACCAAGGCGAUGAUACAUAGCCGACCUGAGAGGGUGAUCGGCCACAUUGGGACUGAGACACGGCCCAAACUCCUACGAGAGGCAGCAGUAGGGAAUCUUCGGCAAUGGACGAAAGUCUGAACGAGCAACGCCGCGUGAGUGAAGAAGGUUUUCGGAUCGUAAAACUCUGUUGGUAGAGAAGAACGUUGGUGAGAGUGGAAAGCUCAUCAAGUGACGGUAACUACCCAGAAAGGGACGGCUAACUACGUG
Molecule: ribosomal RNA, 497 nt
Filed under: uncultured bacterium
Lineage: Bacteria
Description: partial 16S ribosomal RNA
Rfam family: Bacterial small subunit ribosomal RNA
Source: RNAcentral